This 254-nucleotide ribosomal RNA is filed under the name uncultured bacterium. Its description in RNAcentral is "partial 16S ribosomal RNA". It matches the Rfam family "Bacterial small subunit ribosomal RNA", at positions 524 to 776 of the family's 1533-position model. The record is from RNAcentral.
UACAGAGGUCUCAAGCGUUGUUCGGAUUCAUUGGGCGUAAAGGGUGCGUAGGCGGCGCGGUAAGUCGGGUGUGAAAUCUCGGAGCUUAACUCCGAAACUGCAUUCGAUACUGUCGUGCUUGAGGACUGGAGAGGAGACUGGAAUUUACGGUGUAGCGGUGAAAUGCGUAGAUAUCGUAAGGAAGACCAGUGGCGAAGGCGGGUCUCUGGACAGUUCCUGACGCUGAGGCACGAAGGUCAGGGGGAGCAAACGGG